GGUGGCGGCGGCCCGGAGGUUUCGGGUCGGUUGUAGGGCGGCCCCGGCCCCGGGUCCCGGCCCCGAACCGAGGAGGCGGUGUGUGGGAGCGGGGGGCCCGGUGCGUAGCGUGGGGCCGGGGGCCGGAGUGUGGGGCGGGGAGAGGGCGGCGGGUUGGAGCCCUGAUCCCGGGGGUUUGGAGCCCUGAGUCCUGGGUGUCGCAUCCCGGUGGGGAUCCCGGGAGGUUGGAGCCCCACUCCUUGGGCCCUGUGUCCCCGUAAAGAUCCCGGGGGUUGGAGCCCUGAUCCCUGGAGCUGUGUCCCCAUAAAGAGCCCGGAGGGCUGGAGCCCAGCUUCCUGGGGGCUGUGUCCCCCAUAACGAUCCUGGAGGGUUGGAGCCCUGAUCCCUGGGGCUCUGUCCCUAUAAGUAUCCCGGGGUUUGGGGCCCUGAUCCUGAGGGCUGUGUCCCCAUAAAGAUCGCAGGGGUUGGAGGCCCCCUCUCUGGGGGUUGUGUCCCCAUAAGAAGCCUGGAGGGUUGGAGCCCUGAUCCCUGGGGCUGUCCCCCCAUAAGGAUCCCAGUGGGUUGGAGCCCCAUUCCUUGGGGGUUACAUUCCCAUAAGGAUCCCGGUGGUUUGGAGCCCUGAUCCCUGGAGCUGCGUCCCCAUAAAGAGCCCGGUGGGAGUAGAGACCCCCUCCAUGGGGGCUGUGUCCCCAUAACUAUCCCAAAGGGUUGGAGCUCCUCUCCUUGGGGUCUGUGUCCCCAUAAGGAUCCCAGUGAACUGGAGUCCUGCUCCUUGGGUGUUACGUUCCCAUAAGGAUCCUAGAGAACUGGAGCCCUGCUCCGUGGGGUUGUGUCCCCAUAAAGAUCCUGGGGGUUGAAGCCCUGCUCCCUGGGGUCUGUGUCCCCGUAAGGAUCCUGGUGAAUUGGAGUCCUGCUCCUUGGGUGUUACAUUCCCAUAAGGAUCCCAGAGGACUGGAGCCCCGGUCCCUGGGAUCGUGUCCCCAAAAGGAUUCCAGUGGGUUGGAGUUCCCCUCCCUGGGGGCUUCAUCCCGGCGUGUUGCAGCCCCACAGCACGGCAGGCACCUCAUAACCCCCUGUGGCCGUCCCACCAUGCCGUCCCGCGGGGCGAGCACGCGGCGGCCGGGCCGUCGGCAGCUGCUGGCUCUGGCGGCGGUGCUGGGCUGGCUGCUGGCGCUGCGCCUGCUGCUGGACCUGCGGGUGCUGGGGCUGCUCUGCGGGGCGCUGGCGGCCGUGGGCGGCUGGCUGGGACCCCGCGCCCUGAGCCGGCCGGGCUGGCGGCUGCGGCUGGAGCGCUUCGUCGGCACCUUGCGGCCCUCGCCGCCCAGCCCGCAAGCGGAGGAGCAGCUGGAGCAGGAGAUCGCCGGCACCAUCCGUAAGGUGGUGCGGGAUUUCGUCUCCUCCUGGUACCGCACCGUCAGCGCUGAGCACGCCUUCGAGGAUGAGGUGGAGAAAGCCAUGGCCGGGCUGGCCGCCGAGCUGAGGCGGCGGAUGGGGCGGGUGGACCGCAAGGCCCUGGCUCGACGCCUUCUUCUCCUCUGCAGCCACCACCUGCAGAGCUACCUGCAGGCCUGCCAGGCCCUACGGGACACCCCGGAGGGCAGCCGGACGCUGUGGCAGGAGUACAGCCGGAUAGUGGGCACGCAUCCAGCCCUCCGCAGCCCGUCGGUGGAGGUGGGCUACGCUCGGGCUGCUGUGGAGGUGCUGCUGCAGGCGUUGGUGCCCCAGCCCCACCUGGAGACGCGGACGGGACGCUUCGUGGUGGUGGAGCUGGUGGCCUGCAACGUGCUGCUGCCCGCUGUCAGGAAGAUGGCCGAUCCCGACUGGAUCAACCUGCUGCUUGUCGCGGCUUUCUCCAAGAAGCCCCGGGAAGAGGAGGUGCCCCCUGCGCCCCCGGUGCCUGACUGCUUGUCCUUUGCCGUGCAGCCUGAUUCUGCUCCUGCAGGGCUGCCCCCUUCCCCGAGGGUCGUGGAGGUGCCCGGGGCUGCUGGUGAGGAGGGAGAGGAUGCAGCAGGCGGGCUGAGCCGCACGGAGGUGUCAUUCCUCCGCCCACAAGCCCUGGGCUCCCUGUUUCCUUGUGAGGGUUUGGAGCUGGAGUCCCCUGUGCCUGAUCCUGGCCAGGACGUGGACCUGCUGGCACCAUCGCCUGCCAAGGAGUGUCUCGAUGACACCCUCCCUGACACCCCUGCUGUGCUCGAGGGACCGGACGCUUCAGAGGAUGGCGUGGGGGACUUGGAGGAAAGCAAUGCCACCUGCACGGAUGCUGGCCUGCUUCCCCCUUCUGCUUUUGUUCUGAGCUCCUGCCCUGACAUCCAAAUCGAUCCAGCAGUGGAGAAGGAGGAGGAGAGCCCACCUGUCCCCAAGAAGUCCUCCUCGCAGAGGCCCUGCAGCUUGGGGAAAGAACUGGGGGCAUCAGAAGUGCCACCACAAAGUCCCCCAGACCCUGGGCAGACUCUUCCCCUGCUCUCAUCCUCCCCGACAGCUCCCAUCAGCACCUUCAGCUUUGAGCCCCUCAACAGCCCCGACGGGCCAGUCGUCAUCCAGAACCUGCGGAUAACUGGGACCAUCACUGCCCGGGAGCACAGCGGGACUGGCUUCCACCCCUACACCCUGUACACGGUCAAGUACGAGACAGCCCUGGAGGGUGACAGCACAGGCAGCCUUCAGCAAAUGGCCUACCACACCGUGAACCGCCGUUACCGGGAGUUCCUCAACCUCCAGACCAGACUGGAAGAGAAACCGGAGCUCCGCAAGUUCCUGAAAAAUAUCAAAGGCCCAAAGAAAUUGUUCCCCGAUCUUCCAUUUGGAAACAUGGACAGCGAUAAAGUGGAAGCCAGAAAAAGUCUGCUAGAAUCUUUCUUGAAGCAACUGUGUGCAGUCCCUGAGAUUGCCAACAGUGAGGAGGUGCAGGAGUUCCUCGCCCUGAACACCGAUGCCAGAAUCGCAUUCGUCAAGAAGCCCUUUGUUGUCUCCAGGAUAGACAAGAUUGUUGUCAAUGCCAUUGUGGAUACCUUGAAGACAGCGUUCCCCAGGUCAGAGCCCCAGAGCCCCACGGAGGAUCUUAGCGAGUCUGAGGUGGAUGGGAAAUCUCAGACAGAUGGGAAGAAGGCUAACAGGUCCCGGCUGAGGUUUUCAUCCAGUAAAAUCACUCCAGUGCUGAGUGUGAGUGAAGCACAUGACAGGAUCGUGUACUCCGUGAGGGAGGGCAGCGCUGGCUCUGGCACCAUAUCGCUGGCUGCUAUGGAGUCCUUCAUCCACAAGCAGGAGAAGCUGCUGGAGACUGUCCCCAGUAAAGCUCCUGAGGGCGAGGGAAGCAGAGAAGCUAACGAACGCCCCACACAGGAGGAUGCAGACAGGCUGGGCCCGUCGGAACAGGGAGUACAUCCAGACACAGACACAGACUCAGAGACGGCUUUGGCUGACCUGGCCCUGGACUUGCUGCGCCUGCUCCUGAUGGAUCACUGGAGCUGGCUCUGCACGGAGGACAUGCAGAAGGUCUUCCACCUGCUCUUUGGGACCCUCAUUCAAAGGUGGCUGGAGGUCCAGGUGGUGAACCUGACCUGCACCCAGCGCUGGGUCCAGUACCUCCAGCUGCUGCAGGAAUCCAUCUGGCCUGGAGGAAUUUUACCAGCCGUGCCUAAACCAGCCAGGACAGAGGAGCAGAAGAAAGCAGCAGCAGAGCUGGCCCUGCAGAGCCUGAUGGGGAUCUUGCCUGAUGUGAUCCAAGAAAUCCUUGGAACCAGUAAAUGUCGCAUGAGCUGGAACCUGGUGCUGGAGUCCCUGCGCCAUCCUGUUAUCAACAGGCUUCCUGGUGAGUGUGAAACCAGAGGAACAGUGUGGGGAUCUCAUGGCCUUUCUCCUGGAAGAAAGUGAAAGACACCCAGAUAAGCAAGGGGCCCUGCUGCUUGGGAAGUUCACCUUGACACCAGUCGUGGAGGAGGAAAGCUGGGAACAAAACAGGGGAAGUGAUGCAGACACCUCGGCUACCCAGCAUCACCACAACUGCAGCAGGAGAUCUUAUCCAGUCCUCGGAGAAGGCUGGUCCUUUUGUAAAGGUCAGAUCAUCCUGAGCUAUCACACAGCAGCUUGGAGCAGAGGAGGAGGUCCUGCCUGGGUCUGAGUUGCUGUUUGGGUGCGUGUACAGCAAGGCUGGCUUUCAAGUCCGUGGUGAUCCGCUCCCAUCCUUCAAAGCUGCAUCGAUGGAGCUGACUUUGGAGAUGCCCCAGUGCGGUCUCAUUAACUUCUGCUGCUCAGGAGAUACCACCAAAACCACAAGUGGGCUGCUCAUCUCAGACACCCAACCUUCACGCUCCUCACAGGGAUCCUGGUGCUUGUACGAGGACCAGGAGAGGGAUUUGCUGCCGGUGAAGGCUGUGGCAGCUCACAGGCUAGAAAAAGGGAGCCAACGCAGUGUGACCGGUGAAGUUUAGCAGGGACCCCACCUCUGUCGUUGAUGCUCUAAAGACAUACCAAGAGGAGCCACACUGAAAUAAGGAAUUGAGAAAUUUCCCACUGUUGGUUUCAUCUUUAGAUCAGAAGUUUGGAGCUCGCCACGGAGGGAAUAUUGCCCAGAGGAAACAUUUCCUUUUUGCCUUUACCCAUAAGGGAGGGUCGGGGAGGGGAUCGGGGGCACCCCACGAGGUGCUGACCUUCCUGAAGCACACUGCCUCCAGAAUCCCAAAUAGCUGUUUUCAUCGGGUUGAAGCAUGCCUGCAAAAUGCUGUCUGGCCAAACUCUGUUCAGCUGGAAAAUCACUGCCUAGCUCUUGCCUCCAGUUAUCUCCAUAGAGCUCGUACAGAGCUGCGUUUAUUCUCUCCCUUUUCCGAUGGCCUCCACUUCUCCAUCUUGAGGCAUUCACAAAUCACGAUUUGCUACUCCAGCAUCAGCUCUGGGCUGCAAGUCAGCAAGGACUCUCUUUUUAAUUCCAUUUUCAUUGCUCCCGUUUCUUUUGCAUUUUGAUUCACCCUUGGGCGUCUUUCAGCUUUUCGCAGAGUCUGAGAACCAGAAAGAUGUUUUUUUCUUUAGCACUUCAGAUGCUGAUAAAAUUAUUCAACCCCAGCACAUGAAAUCAAGGAAGCGUUUGAUGUCUGUAGGCUCCUGGUGAAUUUAUCUGUGCUGCAGCGGGGUUGGAUGUGCAGGGUUGUAGGACAGCAGCACCAUGGUGCUGAUACCCAAGGACCACACAACGUGUGAGCCCCUACCCCUGUCUGGGCAGACGGAGGGACCCCACGGGACCUCCGUGCUCUGGUCCCUGUCUGCCGUGCUAUUUCUGUUCCUCCUGGUGCCCAGGGGGAGCAGGGAUCAGGACAAGCCAUGUCCUUUUCCAGCAUCCCUGGAGGACUUUGCCGAGGGAUGGGGAGGCAUUUCUGUGCUUGGCCAGGCUCAUCUGCAGCUCUCGUCUGACUUUCUCACGGGAAGAGCCGAGCUGGCCCCUCCAAAUAAGCCCAAGCCUCCCAGUUACCCCCUGCCUGCCUCUGUUUGUGCAUUUGCAGUCUCCUGACAUCUCUUCCCCCAUGGCAAAAGCUGGCCCUGGCUGAACCCAACAGCUUUGGGUACCAAGGGUGGGAGAGGGCACUGUGGUGCCCUGCUGGAGACUGGCUGACCCCACAUCACGUCUGCCAGCCUGGGGACAUCUCUACUUCUCCCCUCUCCCCCUUAAAAAACAUUAUCCAUGGAGGAAAUCUGAAGGCAAACCAGACAAGCUGGUGUAUCUAUUCAGUGACAACCGGGGAGGUUCGCUUUCUGCCGAGCACGGUGUGCUUUGACAGGUUUAUUCAGCUCUCACUUGGGUAAAUCCCUGCCAAAAGAGCGGGGUCCAGCUGUGCUGCUGCUGCACGGCCAUAUCAGCACCAAGGGGCAGGGCCCCUCUGCAGGGCUAGCUUCCUUUAUGGGAUUUCUGCUGGGAAAAGCCAACGCUCACACCCACUAAUAGCACAGGGCAUCACCGCCCGUGUGGGCAGCGCGGUACCAGGAAAGGCAACCAGCUCCUCGUGUGCGUCGCGGGCAGCAAGAAAUCAUCCAGCCAAGCUGGAAAGCCCUCAAGUUUGGGGUUUUGCCAUACUCAGGGCAAUUCCCAAUUGGCGUGCCCUGUUCUUUGCAGUCACCCCAGCAAGGAGGCGUAUUUCCCAUCCGAGCUCAGGUACAUCACUUAUAGGAGGUGCUUUACAGACCCAUUUUCUUUAGGGUCAGACCCUCCUGCGUCAGAACCCUCUCUGUGCUUCAAUCUGGGGGACCAGUGAGUGGUUAUUUGGGGAACGAUGGGGGAUCCCUGUUCACACCCUAACCCCAGCCUUAAGCUGGAGCCAGGGAAUUCAGUCACCGGCCCAGUGAGCCCACAGCCCCCAGGCCAGCUGACGGCUCGGCUGGGUGUAGGAACGCUCCCAGCCUCCCAUCCCAUCCCGCCCGCCUGUUGUUGUUGGCAGCGGGCUUGGGAGGCCUCCAGGUUGGACCCGUCAAGAGAACAAGCGAACAAAAAUUGUUCUCAUCUGAGUAAACACAGCCAGCUGCUGCCAGCAGCUCUGGUGCCUCGGCAGAGGAUUUGUGUGGCCAGCCAUCGUCCCAGUCUGCUAACUCGUUUGACUGGUGGGUCAGAAGGACCCGUCCCUUUAGUGCAGGCAUUGUGCAGCUCAUCCUCCUGCUAGGUCCCACCCAGGUGAUGGAGUCGGGACGCUGCAGUCACCCUUCUACUGGUGCCACCAGUCACCUCCAGUGUGACCCAGUAACAUCCAUCCCUGCUCCUGCUGCUCCCAAACGCAGCCCUGGGGCUGCUGCAGAGGAAUUUCUCUGUCCUGAGCUCCUCGGGAUGGGUUUGUCUCCACCAGUGCUCAGCAACACAUGGGUUUGCUGCGUGGUGGCUGAUUUAAUGAGGAACCUUCCCUGGAAACCCCAGCCUGGCUGCGGCUCAACCCAGCCCUUCCAGCCUCCUUCGGCGAGCCUCGUACAGCUUCGCUCCACUCCUAAUUGCCAGAAAUGAAGCAAGCCAAACCCCACCUGCUCCCUACCACCCACAGGCAGUCCAGCAGGCCCACUUCUCGUGGCGAACGGGGCAGGGUUAACCUCCCCUCUUAGCACCACCAUCCCCUGUAAGACAUUUCCAGUGUCUGACACAAACUGUGCAAAAACCUCCCCAAAGCAGGAGCGUGAAGGACAUCCAUCCUUCCCCACAACGUCUCCUCCACCCUUCUGGUGCCCCUAGCCCCGAGAGAUGGAGUGGCCAUGAGAGGCCACAAACUGCCCCAUUUGUGAAAUGUUUUUUCCUCUUUUGCCUUAACUGCAGUGCCCCGCGCAGCACGCAUGCCCUGCUCCUGCAAGGAAACGGCACCCGCCUCCCUCUUUUACUGCUCACCAACUAUUUGGCCAUUAAGAAAACGGGGGAGCUGGGGCACUCAGUCUUGACCUUGGGGAAAGCAGGAGGCUUAUAAAAGCUCUAAGUGCUGCAGGAAUUACGAGGCAAUUAAAAAUCAGGCCAGAGCUGGGACCAGGGCAAUAAAAGCCAGAGGAACUGAUGUCAGCCCCGCGCGGGACACAGGGACCCGCAGCGCUGGGACGGCGAACCCAUGUCCAUGCUAGCUUUCCACCAUGUGCAUGACCCCAAAUGGAAGCACAGGAGCAUUUCUGUAAGUUCACCACGGCUCAGCUUGGGUUUUCCAAGCUGCUAAGAACAAGGAGAGAAAAAUCAGCUGGGUUUCAGUGGGAUUUGCUAGGGUGCGUUUUCCAUUUCGAGUUGCAGUGCUAAUUUCCUUUGGAGCUGGGUCUUUCCAAGAGCUCAAGCGAGGUUGUGGCUCAGGACCCUUGGGCCAGAGGUUUAAUAUUUCUUCUAGGUGUAAAUGGUUUCAUGUGCAAACCUGUUGAGUUAAGGAGCGCGGUGAUGGGGAGUGAAGGCUGCUCUCUGCGUCCUCUUAGGAAAGUCCCAGAAAAUGUCAUCUGGCUCUUAGGCCAUGCUGAGAACAUUUGCCAACGUCCUCUGACCAUCUUUAAAGCAGGAAGAGGCAAAAAAAAAAAAAAAGGAGUCUUUUUCAGUCUGCCUUUGCUAAAGUCCUGUCCAGCAGGUUUACCUAGGUUUGGUCAUUUAUUUACCUGUCUGCACUGGAGUGCUGGCUGGACUGGAGUGAUGCAGGCGUAUUUCCUAAGGGUAGACAAGGGCUCAGAACAAAACCCAGCUCUGGUCCAGAUGUCCAGAGAGGGUCCUGGUCAUUCUGAGCAGCUCUGACUCAAAACAACAUCUCAAAAGGGAGUUUUAGCUGCCGAAGGUGGUGCUCAGAGCAUUGACCCACAGCCCUGCCCGCCCCACGGCGCUGGACAUGGAAACAGGAGACCAGGCUUGUGCUGAGAACAGGCACAGCUCAUUGCACCCACGGUGUUAGAGAUCUAGGUUGUUACAUCCAAGCCAUCCACUGGGCCAAAAAUUCUGCAUAUUGCUGCAAAGGUCCCCAGCGUUUCCCCAGGGGAAUGCCCAUUUCCCCUGUCCGCCCACCGCAGAGCAGAAACCCCAUUUCUCCACGCAGGAGCUCAGCAGGGGUAAAACGCCAACCACGGAGACGUUUUGCAACAGCUUGUUGCAGGGUUUCAAAACUCGCUCGCUGUUUCACUCUGGGGUGGAAACAAAAGCCCUGGAAAUGUUUCUGUGGCAGAAUUGCAUCGCGCCAUCUGCGUUCAAGGGGAGAGGGCUUGGGGUGCGCGGGUGACACGGUGUGUGUCACAGCUGGCUGGAAAUUUGGCGGAGCAGCCCAUUUUGUGAGGUUUUGGCACUUAGCUGAAAACACGUGGCUGGCUCAGGGGAUUGGCUUUUGAGGCUGGAGGGGGGAAUUUAGGGUUUUUAUGCUGGGGAAACGCGGGGGGAAUGUAACGACCUCCCAGCUCAGUCCUUGCUGCUUUUGGUGAGCCACAGAGCAGCUCCUGGCAGACACCAGCCUGAAACUCAGGGCUCCAGCUGCUGAGCACGCAACCCCCAGCCAGCGUUACGCAAAGCAGGAGUCACUCCAUCGAAAGAACUGGAGUUGCCCCAGCAGAAGGAGCACAAGCAGGACGCUUCGACCCUGCCAUGCUCCGCCAGCCUGGCUGCGACUUCAAGGGAGCCAAAAUCCGGCAGCGCUCGGACAUUCACGGUGCCCCGUGAUCGCUGACCACAUCCACUGCUGAUCACCAAUUCCUGGCUGCAGAUACAAAAACCCAGGGGAGCAUCCUGCAUGCGCUGCUUGUGGGGACAGGCACUGCAGGCUCGCUGUCCGGCUCUUCCCUUCCCAGCUGCUGCAGGGAGAGACCCUGCAAAGCCCAAACUUGCCAGGGAUUUUGCACACAUGGGAUUUUGCGCACACGUGUGCAAGGACAGGCUGUCCUCCAGCAGAAGCUCUGCUGCCCAAUGACAAAUCGGCCGCAGGGUGGGCACGGCUCCAGGCAGGCAGCUGUGCCCCGUUUCCUGACCUGCCUGUUCCUCUGUCCCCACGAUCGUGUUCUGGGGCUGUCAGUGGUGAUUUUUUUUUUUCAUAACAGGGACUCUGUUGGGAUGCUUGAGCUGACAGCCUUGACUGCAGCCUGGGAACGUGGUGGUGCUUGUGCCCAGAGAGCCCGAACCUAGGCAAACGUGUGAGCAGGGGCUGCGGGGUUUGGUCUUAACAGAGGAAGAGAAGCACGAGCAGCCAGAAAAAAACAGUGCAGUGCAGCCCUGGGCUGUAAAGCCCCCACCCAGCCCCAAAGGGGACUGAUGAGGCUCUUUUUUUUUGGUGUGGAAGCUCUGUGUGUGCAGGCAUCUGGCAGCCUCCAGCAUGGGAGCACACGGCACAGUAGCCCCGGUGCACGGCCCCUCCUCUGCCAGCCCCUCGCCCCGGGGCUGGGGGCCUUUUGCAGCUCCCUUUUUAUGGGCAGUGAGGCCCGAGAGCAGCUCAUUAGCUUCCCUGCUCGCUGGGUUUA
RNA transcript from Cygnus olor (mute swan), 9903 nucleotides. It is a transcript of the gene named sorting nexin 19, with no coding region annotated. NCBI's taxonomy places the organism in Eukaryota, Metazoa, Chordata, Aves, Anseriformes, Anatidae. The transcript is spliced from 16 exons. The record is from RefSeq and is a predicted model, not a curated record.